This 253-nucleotide ribosomal RNA is filed under the name uncultured bacterium. RNAcentral's name for it is "partial 16S ribosomal RNA". It matches the Rfam family "Bacterial small subunit ribosomal RNA", at positions 524 to 776 of the family's 1533-position model. The record is from RNAcentral.
UACGUAGGAUGCUAGCGUUGUCCGGAAUUAUUGGGCGUAAAGAGCUCGUAGGCGGUCUGUCGCGUCUGCUGUGAAAACUCGGGGCUUAACCCCGAGCCUGCAGUGGAUACGGGCAGACUAGAGGUAGGUAGGGGAGAAUGGAAUUCCCGGUGUAGCGGUGAAAUGCGCAGAUAUCGGGAGGAACACCGGUGGCGAAGGCGGUUCUCUGGGCCUUACCUGACGCUGAGGAGCGAAAGCGUGGGGAGCGAACAGG